AGCGAACGCUGGCGGCAGGCUUAACACAUGCAAGUCGAACGGAUCCUUCGGGAUUAGUGGCGGACGGGUGAGUAACACGUGGGAACGUGCCUUUUGGUUCGGAACAACACAGGGAAACUUGUGCUAAUACCGGAUGUGCCCUUCGGGGGAAAGGAUUUAUCGCCAUUAGAGCGGCCCGCGUCUGAUUAGCUAGUUGGUGAGGUAAAGGCUCACCAAGGCUACGAUCAGUAGCUGGCUGAGAGGAUGAUCAGCCACACUGGGACUGAGACACGGCCCAGACUCCUACGGGAGGCAGCAGUGGGGAAUCUUGCGCAAUGGGGGAAACCCUGACGCAGCCAUGCCGCGUGAAUGAUGAAGGUCUUAGGAUUGUAAAAUUUCUUUCAGCGGGGACGAUAAUGACGGUACCCGCAGAAGAAGCUCCGGCUAACUUCGUGCCAGCA
Molecule: ribosomal RNA, 440 nt
Filed under: uncultured bacterium
Lineage: Bacteria
Description: bacterial SSU rRNA
Rfam family: Bacterial small subunit ribosomal RNA
Source: RNAcentral